GAGCAUCCUUAUAAACUUCCCAAGACAGCCACAGUGAAAAAGGAGUGAUCCUGAGAAAUCCUGGACAGUCCAGCUGCUGUUUCACUUGCACAUCCCAACCCAGCAGCUCUCAAUCGAAGGGAUUGGCUGAGAUGAAAACCCCCAUCGCUUUCCUCCUGCUGCUGCUGCGGUUGGUGCUCCCAGCCCCUCUGAAGAUGGCAGAAG
Molecule: long non-coding RNA, 204 nt
Organism: Chelonoidis abingdonii (Abingdon island giant tortoise)
Lineage: Eukaryota; Metazoa; Chordata; Testudines; Testudinidae
Source: RefSeq, a predicted model, not a curated record